RNAcentral lists this ribosomal RNA (1347 nucleotides) under uncultured bacterium. RNAcentral describes it as "bacterial SSU rRNA". It matches the Rfam family "Bacterial small subunit ribosomal RNA", at positions 28 to 1381 of the family's 1533-position model. The record is from RNAcentral.
GACGAACGCUGGCGGCGUGCUUAACACAUGCAAGUCGAACGAUGAAGCCUAGCUUGCUAGGUGGAUUAGUGGCGAACGGGUGAGUAAUACGUGAGUAACCUACCUUUAACUCUGGGAUAAGCCUGGGAAACUGGGUCUAAUACCGGAUACGACCAAUCUCCGCAUGGAGUGUUGGUGGAAAGCGUUAUGUAGUGGUUAUAGAUGGGCUCACGGCCUAUCAGCUUGUUGGUGAGGUAACGGCUCACCAAGGCGACGACGGGUAGCCGGCCUGAGAGGGUGACCGGCCACACUGGGACUGAGACACGGCCCAGACUCCUACGGGAGGCAGCAGUGGGGAAUAUUGCACAAUGGGCGCAAGCCUGAUGCAGCGACGCCGCGUGAGGGAUGACGGCCUUCGGGUUGUAAACCUCUGUUAGCAGGGAAGAAGAGAAAUUGACGGUACCUGCAGAGAAAGCGCCGGCUAACUACGUGCCAGCAGCCGCGGUAAUACGUAGGGCGCGAGCGUUGUCCGGAAUUAUUGGGCGUAAAGAGCUUGUAGGCGGUUUGUCGCGUCUGCUGUGAAGGCCGGGGCUUAACCCCGUGUAUUGCGGUGGGUACGGGCAGACUAGAGUGCAGUAGGGGAGACUGGAACUCCUGGUGUAGCGGUGGAAUGCGCAGAUAUCAGGAAGAACACCGAUGGCGAAGGCAGGUCUCUGGGCUGUAACUGACGCUGAGAAGCGAAAGCAUGGGGAGCGAACAGGAUUAGAUACCCUGGUAGUCCAUGCCGUAAACGUUGGGCACUAGGUGUGGGGGACAUUCCACGUUUUCCGCGCCGUAGCUAACGCAUUAAGUGCCCCGCCUGGGGAGUACGGCCGCAAGGCUAAAACUCAAAGAAAUUGACGGGGGCCCGCACAAGCGGCGGAGCAUGCGGAUUAAUUCGAUGCAACGCGAAGAACCUUACCAAGGCUCGACAUAUACUGGACCGCAUCAGAGAUGGUGUUUCCCUUCGGGGCUGGUAUACAGGUGGUGCAUGGUUGUCGUCAGCUCGUGUCGUGAGAUGUUGGGUUAAGUCCCGCAACGAGCGCAACCCUCGUUCUAUGUUGCCAGCACGUUAUGGUGGGGACUCAUAGGAGACUGCCGGGGUCAACUCGGAGGAAGGUGGGGAUGACGUCAAAUCAUCAUGCCCCUUAUGUCUUGGGCUUCACGCAUGCUACAAUGGCCGGUACAGAGGGUUGCGAUACUGUGAGGUGGAGCUAAUCCCUAAAAGCCGGUCUCAGUUCGGAUUGGGGUCUGCAACUCGACCCCAUGAAGUCGGAGUCGCUAGUAAUCGCAGAUCAGCAACGCUGCGGUGAAUACGUUCCCGGGCCU